Chlorocebus sabaeus (green monkey) is the source of this 225-nucleotide non-coding RNA. It matches the Rfam family "Metazoan signal recognition particle RNA". From Rfam's summary of the family: The signal recognition particle (SRP) is a universally conserved ribonucleoprotein. The record is from Rfam. Lineage: Eukaryota; Metazoa; Chordata; Mammalia; Primates; Cercopithecidae.
CCUGGCGCGGUGGCUCAAGCCUGUAAUCCCAGCACUUUGGGAGGCCGAGACGGGCGGAUCACGAGGUCAGGAGAUCGAGACCAUCCUGGCUAACCUGGUGAAACCCUGUCUCUACUAAAAAAAUAAAUANNNNNNNNNNUAUUUAUUUUUUUAGUAGAGACAGGGUUUCACCAGGUUAGCCAGGAUGGUCUCGAUCUCCUGACCUCGUGAUCCGCCCGUCUCGGC